GCCUGGGUGGUGGAACCGGUAGACACAAAGGACUUAAAAUCCUUUGCUCCUUGCGGGCGUGCGGGUUCGAGUCCCGCCCCAGGCACCA
Molecule: transfer RNA, 88 nt
Filed under: Syntrophobacteraceae bacterium CG2_30_61_12
Lineage: Bacteria; Pseudomonadati; Thermodesulfobacteriota; Syntrophobacteria; Syntrophobacterales; Syntrophobacteraceae
Also listed under: 1 other name
Description: tRNA-Leu
Rfam family: tRNA
About the family: Transfer RNA (tRNA) molecules are approximately 80 nucleotides in length. Their secondary structure includes four short double-helical elements and three loops (D, anti-codon, and T loops). Further hydrogen bonds mediate the characteristic L-shaped molecular structure. tRNAs have two regions of fundamental functional importance: the anti-codon, which is responsible for specific mRNA codon recognition, and the 3' end, to which the tRNAs corresponding amino acid is attached (by aminoacyl-tRNA synthetases). tRNAs cope with the degeneracy of the genetic code in two manners: having more than one tRNA (with a specific anti-codon) for a particular amino acid; and 'wobble' base-pairing, i.e. permitting non-standard base-pairing at the 3rd anti-codon position.
Source: RNAcentral